GAACGCACAUUGCGCCCCUUGGUAUUCCGAGGGGCAUGCCUGUUCGAGCGUCACUAUAACCACUCAAGCCUCGGCUUGGUCUUGGGGUUCGCGGUCUCGCGGCUCUUAAAAUCAGUGGCAGUGCCGUCUGGCUCUAAGCGUAGUAAUUCUCUCGCUAUAGAGUUCCGGUGGUUACUUGCCAAAACCCCUAAUUUUUUAACGGUUGACCUCGGAUCAGGUAGGGAUACCCGCUGAACUUAAG
RNAcentral lists this unclassified non-coding RNA (241 nucleotides) under uncultured Helotiales. RNAcentral describes it as "sequence contains 5.8S rRNA gene". The stretch from base 1 to 53 matches the Rfam family "5.8S ribosomal RNA", at positions 102 to 154 of the family's 154-position model. The record is from RNAcentral. Lineage: Eukaryota; Fungi; Ascomycota; Leotiomycetes; Helotiales.